UACGUAGGGGGCAAGCGUUGUCCGGAUUUAUUGGGCGUAAAGAGCGUGUAGGCGGCUAUACAGGUCCGCUGUGAAAACUCGAGGCUCAACCUCGAGACGUCGGUGGAAACCGUAUGGCUAGAGUCCGGAAGAGGCGAGUGGAAUUCCUGGUGUAGCGGUGGAAUGCGCAGAUAUCAGGAGGAACACCAAUAGCGAAGGCAGCUCGCUGGGACGUUACUGACACUGAGGCGCGAAAGCGUGGGGAGCGAACAGG
This 253-nucleotide ribosomal RNA is filed under the name uncultured bacterium. RNAcentral describes it as "partial 16S ribosomal RNA". It matches the Rfam family "Bacterial small subunit ribosomal RNA", at positions 524 to 776 of the family's 1533-position model. The record is from RNAcentral.